GGAAGGUCGUCCUUGCAACAAAUAUUGCUGAAACAUCUUUAACAAUUGAUGGGAUCAAGUAUGUCAUUGAUCCUGGCUUUUGCAAGAUGAAAUCAUAUAACCCUAGGACAGGGAUGGAGUCAUUGCUUGUAACACCUAUUUCAAAAGCUUCUGCAGCGUGCUGGUCGUUCUGGACGAACAGGUCCAGGAAAGUGUUUCCGGUUGUACACGGCCUAUAACUACAAUCAUGACUUGGAUGAUAAUACUGUACCAGAAAUACAAAGGACAAAUCUUGCUAAUGUUGUGCUCUCUUUGAAGAGUCUUGGAAUUCAUGACUUACUAAAUUUUGAUUUUAUGGACCCUCCACCUUCUGAGGCAUUACUAAAAGCCCUGGAACUCCUGUUUGCACUGAGUGCACUAAAUAAACAUGGUGAGCUGACUAAAGUUGGUCGAAGGAUGGCUGAGUUCCCACUUGAUCCUAUGCUAUCCAAAAUGAUCGUUGCUUCUGAUAAGUAUAAGUGUUCAGACGAGAUAAUCUCUAUUGCUGCUAUGCUUUCUGUUGGAAAUUCAAUAUUCUAUCGUCCAAAGGACAAACAAGUUCAUGCGGACAAUGCCAGAAUGAAUUUCCACACAGGAAAUGUGGGAGACCAUAUAUCUUCUCAAGGUGUAUAAUUCUUGGAAGGAAACUAAUUAUUCUACACAAUGGUGUUAUGAAAAUUAUAUUCAGGUCAGGAGUAUGAAACGAGCUAGAGAUAUACGAGACCAGUUGGAGGGCCUUUUGGAAAGGGUUGAAAUUGACCUAUCAUCCAAUCUCAAUGAUUUAGAUGCCAUAAAGAAAUCCAUAACAUCUGGUUUUUUCCCUCAUUCUGCAAGGCUGCAGAAGAACGGAUCAUACAGAACAGUGAAACAUCCUCAGACAGUUCACAUACACCCCAGCUCAGGGUUGGCACAGGUGCUCCCAAGAUGGGUCAUAUACCAUGAGUUGGUUCUUACAACCAAGGAGUACAUGAGGCAGGUAACUGAGCUGAAGCCAGAGUGGCUGGUAGAAAUUGCUCCCCACUAUUACCAGCUGAAGGAUGUUGAAGAUCCGGGGUCAAAGAAAAUGCCAAGAGGCGAAGGACGUGCAUCAUAGCUGGGUUGUACAGACAAUGAUGGGGGCGUGGUCAGUCUUGCGGGAUGAGAAGUCUAAAUACAAAUUUUGUAAAUUUUGGUAGCAAGUAGGUAUUAACAAUUUCACUCUCCAUACUUGUUUGUAUAUUUAUAAUCUGGCUUGUUGAGGAAGUUGUUUGUAACUAAACUUUAAAAGAAGC
RNAcentral lists this unclassified non-coding RNA (1289 nucleotides) under Hevea brasiliensis (rubber tree). The record is from RNAcentral. Lineage: Eukaryota; Viridiplantae; Streptophyta; Magnoliopsida; Malpighiales; Euphorbiaceae.